Molecule: long non-coding RNA, 3236 nt
Filed under: Homo sapiens (human)
Lineage: Eukaryota; Metazoa; Chordata; Mammalia; Primates; Hominidae
Description: non-protein coding lnc-RAD23B-10:5
Source: RNAcentral
AGUUUGGUGCUGAGUGCUCUGGACGCCCCAGCAGGGCCGGAGAAAAUCUGCAGAGGCAGCAGCAACUGACCCUAACAGAGCAAGAGGCCUGACCUUCACACCUAUGUAACCCAAGGUCACAGAAAUGCUGAGGGGCCAUGUGACUCCAGUGAAGCAGGAGUAUCCAUCCAGCCACAGAGAUGGGACCUGUCCAAAUGGGACCUGUCUGUUCCAAAGGUUAUUCUGCUUGUUCUGGAGACUGGGAAUUCCAAGAGCAUGAUACCAGCAUCUGGCGAGCGUUAUCCCCUGGUAGGAAGUAUCACAUGCUACAAGUAAAGCACUUGGAAUGGUAGAGUGCUUCCCUCAAUGGAUGGAAGGAGACUGGAUCCCUCUGACACUGACUGGAAGAGCUCUGCUAAGCAAAGCUGCGAGCUCAUGAAAGACUGUGAGGAGAGUAAGAGGUACUGGAAAAUUUAAAAGAUGAAGGAGGUGGAGUCAUUUUUUCCUAAGGAGCUGGGAGAGGAGAUAAGAAAUGGGAUCAAAUAAUGAACAACAAGUUUCAAAGGGAUCAGAGUCCAAUAAAACCUGCCGCCUGAGCUCUUAAGAGAGAAAUGGAAAUCGUAGUUGUGAACAUCAGGCUUUCUAGAAGUGGCUGUACCAACAUCAGCCUUGAAAGAGCUCAAUCCAGCAGAUCCUGUCCCACUUGGAACCUGGCUAUGAGUGAGAAAACAUCUGUGGUUGGAAAAUGGGGCUGGUGAUUCAGGCCUGUUUGGGAAGAAGAUGCUCUUGAAUGCUUUGCUCAACAAACACCUCCCUUCUGCAAGGAGGUGAGAGGUCAUCUGUCUGUCUACUUUGACACUUUCACCCACUGAACUUCAGGGCUUAAGACACCUUCCCCAUAAAUUGGAGUGAGCGCGGCACAAACUGUCCCUGAAUUUGACCAUAACUGACUCACCAAAGGUCUGAGUAGGGGAGAAGGCAAAAACAGACAAACAGGCACUGAGGACUUUGCCAUCCCAGACCUGUGUCAUGUAAACAGGCUGUCUGCUUCACAGCCAAGGAAUGAGCCCUGGACGUGGGUCGGAACUGGAGCCUUAACAGCUAAUACCCAGAGCCUUUGACUGUGGACGACUGUGUUCAAAGGGGCAGGCUGCCCACUACUAGGGCAUGGAGGAGAGGCAGGAUGUGGGGAAAGAGUGUGGUUUUGGAAUCAGACACAACUGGUCCCCGCCACUUACUCAGCCUUGUGACCUCAGAUGAAAAAGUCUCUUAUUCUUACUAAGGCUCAGUUUCCCCAACUGUGAAACUGACAUAACACUAUGGACUUCAAAAGGCUUUACAAGCAAAACAAUUUAUAAAACAAUUUAUUCAACAAUUUAUUCAGGCACUUAGCACAGUGCUAGCACAUAGAUAUAAGUAACAGUUUUUUUUCUCUGUUCCUUCUACGUGGAGGAGAGGCAUCUGUUGUCUCUUCAAGUUAAUUAAUUUGAAAAUAUCCAGUAGCAACCAUUUCUUAAAUUCCUCUUACGAGCCAUUUAGUUUUGCAACAACUGCAAGAUAGACAGUAUUAUUCCCAUUUUACAGAUAUGGACAUUGAAGCUCAGGAGGUACACCGGAUAUAGUGACUUUGAUCUUCUCAUUGCCCUGACACUGAUGAGAGAGAGAUAACAAAAUCAAAAAGAACAGUUGGAGGAAUAAAUGUCAAAUAUAGGAGGCUGGAAGCAUAGUCUCUAACCUCAGUCUAGCCUCGGAUAAUAGCAUUUUCAUCUUGCUACAGCAGUAGCAGACACCAGCUGGGUGCCUUCUCCCUAUUUUAUUCAUUUGUAUGUUCAUUGAGCAAUUUAUCUAUUGCUAAUUCCUUAGCAAGCAUUUACUGUGACCUUCCUUUUAUUAUUACUAUUAUUAUUAUUCAUUUUAGAGACAGGGCUAUGCCAUUAUGUUGCCUACGCUGGAGGGCAGUGGUUAUUUACAGGUGUGAUGCCGCUACUGAUCAGCAUGGGAGUUUUGACCUGAUUCAUUUCUGAUCUGGGCCCAUUUGCCCCUCCUUAGGCAACCUGUGAUGCCCCACUCCCAGGAAGUCACUGUAUUGAUGCUGAACUUAGUGUGGGCACUUCAUGGGCACAGCACACUACAGCCCAGAACUCCUGGGCUCAAGUGAUCCUUCCACCACAGCUUUUCCAGCAGCUGGGACUACAGGUACAUGCCAUUGUGCUCAGCUACUGUGUACUUCCUAUGUCCUCAAAUCCUGCUACUCAAAACAUAAUUCCUAAGCCAGAAGCAUCAGCAUCACUGAGAGCUUAUUAGAAAUGCUGAUUCUCAGGCCUAACCUCGGACCAACUGAACCAGAGAAUCUGCAUUUUAACAAGAUCCCUGGGUGAUUCACAGCAUAUAUGAAAGAUUGAAAAUUGCUAUCCUUGAUGCUUUUCUUUUUUUUUUUUUUUUUUUGAGAUGGAGUCUCACUCUGUCACCAAGGCUAGAGUGCAAUGGCAUGAUCUUGGCUCACUGCAACCUCCGCCUCCCGGUUCAAAUGAUUCUCCUGUCUCAGCCUCCCAAGUAGCUGGGAUUACAGGCACGUGCCACCAUGCCCAGCUAAUUUUUGUAUUUUUAGUAGAGAUGGGGUUUCACCAUGUUGGCCAGGCUGGUCUUGAACUCCCGACCUCAGGUGAUUCACCUGCCUCGGCCUCCCAAAGUGCUGGGAUUACAGGUGUGAACCACCACACCUGGCCUCCUUGAUGCUUUUCUAUCUUGGUGAAAUACUUAUUGGGAGGACUCCCAGUACUGCUACCUUCCUUAUUGUGAGUAGAAAAAAACUGAAAAAGUCAAAGUGUUUUUUCAAUUCUCUCACUCAACAAUAAUCACCACUGAAGACUCCUGUGACCAACUCUGUGGGGAUUUCUCCUCACCAACAAGCAGUCAGUUCUGUAGCAGACACCAGCUGGGUACCCUCCAAUCCAAUUCAAUUCUGAUGUUACCUACCUGGAGGUAGCGUCAGAUGCCACAGGUUGAGGGCUCAGUCCCACGUGACUGCCCCUAACUUAUGAUACCAGUCAAAAGCCCCAGGUUGUUUUAUUUGUGCUUCUGACUGACCGUCUAUAAGUCAGGGAUCCCCUGAACCCCUUUUUGUGUGUGAUUAAUUUACUGGAGCAGAGCUUACAGAACUCAAGGAAACACUUAACAUUUACUGGUUUAUUAUUGUAUUAGUUCGUUUUCAUGCUGCUAAUAAAGACAUACCUGAGACUUGGUAAUCUAUAAAGGAA